AACCUCCGCAAUGUGAGAAAUCGCGACGGGGGGAUCCCAAGUGCCAUUCCUAACGGGAUGGCUUUUCAUUAGUGUAAAGAGCUUUUGGAAUAAGAGCUGGGCAAGACCGGUGCCAGCCGCCGCGGUAACACCGGCAGCUCUAGUGGUAGCAAUUUUUAUUGGGCCUAAAGCGUCCGUAGCCGGUUUAAUAAGUCUCUGGUGAAAUCCUGUAGCUUAACUGUGGGAAUUGCUGGAGAUACUAUUAGACUUGAGACCGGGAGAGGUUAGAGGUACUCCCAGGGUAGAGGUGAAAUUCUGUAAUCCUGGGAGGACCGCCUGUUGCGAAGGCGUCUAACUGGAACGGUUCUGACGGUGAGGGACGAAAGUUAGGGGCGCGAACCGGAUUAGAUACCCGGGUAGUCCUAACUGUAAACGAUGCGGACUUGGUGUUGGGGUGGCUUUGAGCUGCUCCAGUGCCGAAGGGAAGCUGUUAAGUCCGCCGCCUGGGAAGUACGGUCGCAAGACUGAAACUUAAAGGAAUU
Molecule: ribosomal RNA, 521 nt
Filed under: uncultured bacterium
Lineage: Bacteria
Description: bacterial SSU rRNA
Rfam family: Archaeal small subunit ribosomal RNA
Source: RNAcentral